RNAcentral lists this non-coding RNA (25 nucleotides) under Drosophila erecta. The record is from RNAcentral. Lineage: Eukaryota; Metazoa; Arthropoda; Insecta; Diptera; Drosophilidae. RNAcentral also lists the same sequence under 1 other name.
UGCUAGAAGACGAUUUUCGGGCCGA